This 513-nucleotide ribosomal RNA is filed under the name Curicta cf. pelleranoi JRR-2017. RNAcentral's name for it is "SSU rRNA". It matches the Rfam family "Eukaryotic small subunit ribosomal RNA", at positions 32 to 530 of the family's 1831-position model. The record is from RNAcentral. Lineage: Eukaryota; Metazoa; Arthropoda; Insecta; Hemiptera; Nepidae.
UUGUCUCAAAGCUUAAGCCAUGCAAGUCUCAGUACAAUCCAAAUUAAGGCGAAACCGCAAACGGCUCAUUAAAUCAGUUUUAGUUUACUUGAGCGAAAACUAUCAGUUUUGGACAACUGUGGCAAUUCUAGAGCUAAUACAUGCAACCGAGUCCCGACCAGUGACUGGAAAGGACGCUUUUAUUAGAUCAAAAUCAAUCGGUCGUCUCGUACGUCCGUUUGACUUGAUGACUCUGAAUAACACAGCAGAUCGCACGGUCUCCGUACCGGCGACUCAUCUUUCAAAUGCCUGACUUAUCAACUGUCGAUGGUAGAUUUUACGUCUACCAUGGUUGUAACGGGUGACGGGGAAUCAGGGUUCGAUUCCGGAGAGGGAGCCUGAGAAACGGCUACCACAUCCAAGGAAGGCAGCAGGCACGCAAAUUACCCACUCCCGGCACGGGGAGGUAGUGACAAAAAAUAACGAUACGGGACUCAUCCGAGGCCCCGUAAUCGGAAUGAGAACACUCUAAAU